This is a non-coding RNA of Anas platyrhynchos (mallard), 2152 nucleotides long. The record is from RefSeq and is a predicted model, not a curated record. Lineage: Eukaryota; Metazoa; Chordata; Aves; Anseriformes; Anatidae.
UGCCCUGCUACAUUUAAUCAGCAGCAGUGGGUAUUUAUUGCCUUAUAUACCACUAAUCAAUAGUGAUUAGUACCUCAUUAACCUUUCUGUUUUUCUGAUUGUCUUCUUGCAGUGUUGUAAUAACAGAGCUUCCCUCUCCAGCCUGACAGAGGCGGUUCCGUAGGCUGCAGAAGGAAGUGCUGAUGCCUCUGAUGAGGUCUGUGACCCUAUUACUAUGAGGAGGAAUCACUGUGCCACCCAUCCACACCAGGAGGUGGCAAAUCCUCGCGGGGUUCACUCACCUCCAAGCUCCCAUGGCAAACAUCUCAGCCCCGUAACUCUGUGACAACGGCUGAGGGGGAAGCAAAAGCCUCAGGGGUGCAAAAUCUCUGGUGUGGGGCAUAUUCCCCAGGAAGAGAGAGCGGCCUGAUGCUCCGGUGUUGUUUCAGGGUGGUCACAGCAGCCAGGAGAGCACUGCUCCCCUGUGACUUGUUGCGUUUGCACCUAGGAUGCACUUACAGCCUCUGUUGUGACAGAUGCGCUGAAAAGCAAAGUGAGCAGCUGUGGGGAACCGUUCCCUUCCUCCCCUGCUGCAUUUGCUCCCUCACAUCCGUGUGACCAGCCCCUGGGGCUGAGUUCCCCGGCUUGCUGGGCUGAGUGGUGCUCCCGGAGCAAAGCUGUGAGGGACGGGGCGCAGCAGUGCACCCGCUGAGACUUCCAGCGCCACAGAAACAGUGGUGGGGAGGUGGGCCCGAGGAGUGCAAGGUGGGCCCCGGAGACUGGCAGGCUUCCACAAGCAGCAGACUGGGAUAAAUUUCUGCAAAUUAGAUAAAUUUCUUCAAAUUAGAUUAGCGCUGUGUGGGUUCAUUAAUUCUCAGUGUGAGUGAAGCCCCCUGAAAUUCCACCUGCUGGCAGGCUGAGCUCACACUGACAAGCUCUGCGCUGCUCAGGCCAGCUCUGAAACCGUCAGGUGCAUUUCGGGAACCCCUCGGGACAGGGCUGCACUGCCCCCAAGUGCAUUUGGUGUCCUCCAGCCACAGCGACUGCUGCAGUAUCUAAAAGUCAUCCUGUGGUGUCCACCCUGUGGAAACAGUGUCUUGGUGGUCUGGAGCAAAAAUACUUGCCUUAGAUCUUCUGCAUAAUGGGGAGCAAUGAAAUUCUCACCCCACCGAAUCUGUCUGGGGCCGGCUUUGCUCACUGCAGUCUCAGCGUGGCGCUGAGCGAUGCGAGCGUAUGGAUUUCCUGGUAUGCAGCCACGGGAGGCUUUAACAAGUGUCUGAGUUUCCUGCCCCUCCGCCUGCCUGGACCUGGCUCUUAGCUCUGCCGUUGGCUGGAGCACGUCAAAUUGAACUUCAUCUGAUUAAGCACGGCAGCGCCGAUAACUUGGAAGUGUUCCUGUUGUGAGUGGAUUACAUUUGUGCUCCUAACUCAGAAAAUCCCCCUUGAAAUGAUGAUUUCUCACUGCUCCUCGAGCUUUGCCUUAAAUGUGACUGCUGCCUGCUACGCCUGGAGCUGAGGCGAGGGAGCACACGUCUCUGCUGGUCGUGCAGCACCUGGCGUGGUGGGGAACGUGUGCCUGGGACCUGCUAAACCCCCUGAGGAAGCUUUUUCCUCUGCUCUGGCUGUUUUGUGUUGACCACUGGACUGCAGCACUCAGCCGAUUGUCGUCCGUGCUGAGGAAAGCACCUGCUCAAGCCACGCAGCCCAGUCCAGCCGCCCAGGGACAGGGGAUUGGGAGCCAAUCUGCUAAACGGGGAUUUAAGCCAGAGGCAGCCCCGAGUGCCUCCGUCUCCUGACGCUCCCAAGCAGCACAGGCAGCCGCCGCUUCCUCCAGGCCCUUCCCACAGUUCAGCCCAAUCCUCCAGCUCUGCAGCAAGGGCUUUCCAACCAGAAAUAAGUUUCCCCAUCUUCUUGCUACGCUGCCUUUUAAUUAGGAGCACAGCUACUCUGGAAACGCGGAGCUCACUUUUCAGAGCGUGCUGGAAAGUGAUUACAAUGGAUUAAAGUGGAAAGGUUAGGCAAUUUAUUCAUCUGGCACUUAGCAAAUGCGUUGGAUUAUUUUGUGCCGCGGGGAUGAUUUUAAAAAGAAAACAACACCGUUCCAGCUCUCGCUAGCCCUGAGGUUCCCUGCUGCACGAGCUAGGUGGUGGAGCUGAAAUGCUGCUUGAGCUGA